RNAcentral lists this transfer RNA (77 nucleotides) under Thermoplasmata archaeon. Its description in RNAcentral is "tRNA-Pro". It matches the Rfam family "tRNA". From Rfam's summary of the family: Transfer RNA (tRNA) molecules are approximately 80 nucleotides in length. Their secondary structure includes four short double-helical elements and three loops (D, anti-codon, and T loops). The record is from RNAcentral. Lineage: Archaea; Methanobacteriati; Thermoplasmatota; Thermoplasmata.
CGGAAUAUAGGCUAGUCUGGCAAGUCACCUCGUUUGGGACGAGGAUACCGCAGGUUCGAGUCCUGCUAUUCCGACCA